This 518-nucleotide ribosomal RNA is filed under the name uncultured microorganism. RNAcentral's name for it is "bacterial SSU rRNA". It matches the Rfam family "Bacterial small subunit ribosomal RNA", at positions 9 to 520 of the family's 1533-position model. The record is from RNAcentral.
GAGUUUGAUCGUGGCUCAGAUUGAACGCUGGCGGCAGGCCUAACACAUGCAAGUCGAGCGGAUGAAGGGAGCUUGCUCCUGGAUUCAGCGGCGGACGGGUGAGUAAUGCCUAGGAAUCUGCCUGGGUAGUGGGGAGUAACGUCCGGAAACGGGCGCUAAUACCGCAUACGUCCUGAGGGAGAAAGUGGGGGAGUCUUCGGACCUCACGCUAUCAGAUGAGCCUAGGUCGGAUUAGCUAGUUGGUGGGGUAAAGGCCUACCAAGGCGACGAUCCGUAACUGGUCUGAGAGGAUGAUCAGUCACACUGGAGCUGAGACACGGUCCAGACUCCUACGGGAGGCAGCAGUGGGGAAUAUUGGACAAUGGGCGAAAGCCUGAUCCAGCCAUGCCGCGUGUGUGAAGAAGGUCUUCGGAUUGUAAAGCACUUUAAGUUGGGAGGAAGGGCAGUAAGUUAAUACCUUGCUGUUUAGACGUUACCAACAGAAUAAGCACCGGCUAACUUCGUGCCAGCAGCCGCCC